GUGUCUGUAGCUCAGCUGGAUAGAGUGUAUGCCUCCGGAGCAUAAGGUCAGGGGUUCGAAUCCCCUCAGACACGCCA
Molecule: transfer RNA, 77 nt
Filed under: Synergistaceae bacterium
Lineage: Bacteria; Thermotogati; Synergistota; Synergistia; Synergistales; Synergistaceae
Description: tRNA-Arg
Rfam family: tRNA
About the family: Transfer RNA (tRNA) molecules are approximately 80 nucleotides in length. Their secondary structure includes four short double-helical elements and three loops (D, anti-codon, and T loops).
Source: RNAcentral